GUCGAAAGAUAGUGAUAGACCAUCGGAUGAAGUUUACUAUAUGUUUUUGUCUUUACCAUGUUUUUUCUUAUACCAUGUUGAUUUUCAAAUAAAGUGCAAGUUGUGAAUGAAAGAGUAGACAUUUUCUUAUUUAUGUCAAAUUUUGCAACAAAUUUUUUUGCCUUACCAAUCAUGCGGUGUGGGUGCUCACCGGCGCUGGAGCUGAGGUGAGGCGAAUUCAAAACUUCACCCAAAUGUCCGGAUUUCUCAUAUUUCCGGCUUGGAAUGCCCAGAUUUCUUGUUUCCUUGGCUUAUACUUUGGGUCUUGCACCUUUUCUUUAUAGGUUCUGCGAAUUCUUGUUUAGGGAUCCGAUGGAGAGCUCGGAUAUGGCAUCGCAGCCGUUGAGCGACAGGGUCACGCCGAAGCUCCUCCUCGGCUGCACGGAUUGCGUCACUGUCAUGCCGGGCGAGCCGCAGACUGGAUCCGGAAAGACAUAUACGACGGGUACCAAUUAUACUGGUGAAGUUGAUCGUGGAGGAAUAAUUGCACCUCUCAUGGAGACGAUAUUUAGGAAAUCUGAUGCGAUGAACCGUCAUACAGAGUUCUUAAUUAGGGUAUCCUUCAUCGAGAUAUUCAAGGAGGAAGUAUUUGAUUUACUUGAUGAUCAUGGGUCUGUUGCAAAAGUGGCAGCGCCUGCUAGAGUGCCUAUUCAGAUUCGACAAAACUGCAAAUGGAAGCAUUACACUUGCUGGCGUGAUGGAGGCUGAGGUCAAGUCAAAAGAAGAUAUGGGCCAUAUGGCCAUGCACUUGGCACGAGGAUCUUCGUCACGCGCAACUGAAAGUACAAACAUACAUAGCCAGGCAAGGGUGAUUGAGGAGUAAAUGCAAAGGUACAAAGAGUAACUAAUAAGUGUGUUUGAACAAUGA
RNAcentral lists this ribosomal RNA (907 nucleotides) under Triticum aestivum (bread wheat). Its description in RNAcentral is "partial small subunit ribosomal RNA". Lineage: Eukaryota; Viridiplantae; Streptophyta; Magnoliopsida; Poales; Poaceae. The record is from RNAcentral.